AAAGAGAGAGCGAUUGAAAUGAACUUUAAUGGCGAACGAUGGUGUCGUGCGAUCUCUUCCCAGUCCUCUAGGAGAACCAGAAUUACGACAUGCAAAAGAAGGAACUUCCAAAGGAUCGUUUACGCAUGCAGCGUUACUUUUUACUAGGCGCAGCCUGCGACCGGCCAUGACAGCUUAAAAAACCAAUUCCCAAAGAAGGAAGGGAAAACUUCAUAAAAAUCAGAACCACCACUCGAGAACAACACCAAACAAGACUCCCACAGCAAAGAAAGAAGCCGCCUCUGACCAGCUCCGGAGAAGACAACAUGCCUCGGAAAGAGCAGAUUUCAGACAGAGUCACGACCUGUGCUGCGCUGUGACCACUCGAAACUGCACUCUCGGACACGGCUUUCCUUUCCUUUGUUUCCCUUCGCCCCCCCGUCAUUAUUACCAUUCUUUAGUCGCCAUGAUUCCCCACCUCCUUUUCCUCUUUCCUUCUUUCUGCUAGUGAGCAGUAGCAGUCAGGGGGAGAUGGAGAUGAGAGCAAAGGACCACUUUUGGACAUGUGGAGCCCGCGGGGCAUGGGUGUGGGACGGGCCCUUCUCCCACGUGAAGCCCACGAGGUAUGGCCUGCCCCUCCCCCGCCCCUCCCCUCUCCUGAUAGCUACUCCUCCUCCCCUCCCCACUUGCAUAUCCCGACGUUUCUCCUCUUUUUCUCCUCGCACCAUAUUAAAAGAUUCUCUCUUUCAACAUCAAAA
Syzygium oleosum is the source of this 737-nucleotide long non-coding RNA. RefSeq lists it as uncharacterized. Lineage: Eukaryota; Viridiplantae; Streptophyta; Magnoliopsida; Myrtales; Myrtaceae. The transcript has 2 exons. The record is from RefSeq and is a predicted model, not a curated record.